Molecule: ribosomal RNA, 499 nt
Filed under: uncultured bacterium
Lineage: Bacteria
Description: bacterial SSU rRNA
Rfam family: Bacterial small subunit ribosomal RNA
Source: RNAcentral
AGUGAACGCUGGCGGCGUGCCUAAUACAUGCAAGUCGAACGUGAAAGCCUUCGGGUGAGUAAAGUGGCGCACGGGUGAGUAAUGGAUGAGAACAUGCCCUAAAGUGGGGAAUAACUGUUGGAAACGACAGCUAAUACCGCAUAGUAACGAGAGUUUAAAGGUGGGGAUCUUCGGACCUACCGCUUUAGGAUUGGCUCAUCUCCCAUUAGCUAGUUGGCAGGGUAAAGGCCUACCAAGGCAACGAUGGGUAACUGGUCUGAGAGGAUGAUCAGUCACACUGGAACUGAGACACGGUCCAGACUCCUACGGGAGGCAGCAGUAGGGAAUAUUGCACAAUGGGCGAAAGCCUGAUGCAGCAACGCCGCGUGAGUGAAGAAGGCCCUUGGGUUGUAAAGCUCUUUAGCCUGGAAAGAAGUGUCCGCUGGAAAACAUUCAGCGGAUGUGACGGUACCAGGAGAAUAAGCACCGGCUAAUUUCGUGCCAGCCGCCGCGGUAACAC